AGUGGGGGGAGGGCAGGGUCCCUCAGCCUGGAUUGUGAGAGGGUGCAGGCUAGGCUGAGGGAUCCCACUGUUGCACG
Molecule: non-coding RNA, 77 nt
Organism: Myotis lucifugus (little brown bat)
Lineage: Eukaryota; Metazoa; Chordata; Mammalia; Chiroptera; Vespertilionidae
Source: Rfam